CCGGUAGAGAUAUCGGUUCCCUUGUGGCCUGUGUGCAGGUGGUGCAUGGCUGUCGUCAGCUCGUGUCGUGAGAUGUUGGGUUAAGUCCCGCAACGAGCGCAACCCUUGUCUCAUGUUGCCAGCGCGUWAUGGCGGGGACUCGUGAGAGACUGCCGGGGUCAACUCGGAGGAAGGUGGGGAUGACGUCAAGUCAUCAUGCCCCUUAUGUCCAGGGCUUCACACAUGCUACAAUGGCCGGUACAAAGGGCUGCGAUGCCGUGAGGCUUAGCGAAUCCUUUAAAGCCGGUCUCAGUUCGGAUCGGGGUCUGCAACUCGACCCCGUGAAGUCGGAGUCGCUAGUAAUCGCAGAUCA
This 352-nucleotide ribosomal RNA is filed under the name uncultured Mycobacterium sp. Its description in RNAcentral is "bacterial SSU rRNA". It matches the Rfam family "Bacterial small subunit ribosomal RNA", at positions 997 to 1351 of the family's 1533-position model. Lineage: Bacteria; Bacillati; Actinomycetota; Actinomycetes; Mycobacteriales; Mycobacteriaceae. The record is from RNAcentral.